Molecule: long non-coding RNA, 373 nt
Organism: Silurus meridionalis
Lineage: Eukaryota; Metazoa; Chordata; Actinopteri; Siluriformes; Siluridae
Exons: 3
Source: RefSeq, a predicted model, not a curated record
GAAGGAGGAAUCUCUUUGAGAGAAUUAUUAAUUGAAUUUAGCAAACCACUACUUCCUGUGGCAAGAGCCGGCAUAUUAUUUGCAGAAAUAUUGCACCUUCUCUGCAAACAAAUAAUGAGCUAGCCAAAAGGAAGUGGAGGCCUUAUGGAGGAACUCUAAACUGAGCUGUGCUGAUUUUCUUCCUGAAACCGUGGAUGGGAAUUUCAUUUGUUAGUUUAAGAACAUUGUCAGUGAACUCAAAUGGCAGCUCGUCUGAUCAGAAAAGAGAAAAGUGUUUGUGUUUGUGGUGUAAAAAGCAGUGUGUUGGGUGGUAGACUUGAUGCAGUUUUAUUUCUAAACCAGCACAAAUGCUGCCUUUAAGAAGAACAUCUUC